RNAcentral lists this ribosomal RNA (253 nucleotides) under uncultured bacterium. RNAcentral describes it as "partial 16S ribosomal RNA". It matches the Rfam family "Bacterial small subunit ribosomal RNA", at positions 524 to 776 of the family's 1533-position model. The record is from RNAcentral.
UACGUAGGGGGCAAGCGUUGUCCGGAAUCAUUGGGCGUAAAGAGCGCGUAGGCGGCCCUGUAAGUCCGCUGUGAAAGUCAAGGGCUCAACCCUUGGAUGCCGGUGGAUACUGCAGGGCUAGAGUCCGGAAGAGGCGAGUGGAAUUCCUGGUGUAGCGGUGAAAUGCGCAGAUAUCAGGAGGAACACCGGUGGCGAAGGCGGGUCUCUGGGCAACAACUGACGCUGAGGAGCGAAAGCGUGGGGAGCGAACAGG